Paramuricea clavata is the source of this 1194-nucleotide non-coding RNA. NCBI's taxonomy places the organism in Eukaryota, Metazoa, Cnidaria, Anthozoa, Malacalcyonacea, Plexauridae. The record is from the annotation of a GenBank genome assembly.
UAGAUCAGUAAUGGCUAGCGCCUCCAGUACAACCCCCAUAUCAAACGAAGAACGAAGAUGGGUUGUCAUUGGUGUAUGUUUGACCAAAGUGCUCACUCCUGCAUUGAGAAAUGUUCUUGCAACCAAAAUACCAAAGUGGCAUCAAGUUUUAUGUCAACCACCGACCGAAAUCGACAAACAAGUUUUUGGUGGACACCAGAAAAAGUUACACCCAUCAACUUUGAACCUCAACUAUAAAAGUAUCAACAACAAUGAUGCCAUUGGAUCACCUCGUGCAUUUGAUUAUGCAGUUAAGGAUGCAUUGUCUUUGGCAAAGUUGUUUGUUAAACCAUUCAUGUCCAAGUUCACUGGCUUUGACGUAACAAUGGAUACGUCUGCAGUCUUAUCAGUGAUUUGUGAAGCUGCCCCAUUUGUAGGAGCUGCUGCUCAUGCAAAGACAGUUCGAUCAGAUGUCAGAAACGAGUGGGCACAUUGCAACUUUGCAGAGUGGACGGAACCAAAAUUUUUUUAUGCUUUUCAAAAUAUGGAAACUUUAUUGAAGAAUGUGAACUUGUCACCUAAUGAUGAACAGAAAUUAUGUGAUGAGCUAAAUAGCUGGAAAGAAAAAGGUAAUUAAUGCCUACUGUAAUAUUCAGAUAUCCCAAAUUUCGAGAUUUGAUGAACACAUUGUCAAUGUUGGUCUAGUAUUAUGCAAAAAGGUGGUCCUUGUUUGUCGCCUGCGUAUUGUAUUAAGCCAAAUAAACUAAUAGCAUUCUUUAAACUGAGGCACUUGCCAGAAAUUAGCACGGAGGAGGGGAGGGAUAGGUCUGAAUUAGAUAGGUGUCCGUUUUAUGUAUAAAGGUUUUUUAAAGGAAACUGUAUGGAAAUUUAAGCGAAACCAGCUACAUUAUUGAGGUUCAAGCUACAUUGAGGAGCUCAUUGGUUCAAAAUAUUUUAUUGUACUUGCUCAGUUCCUCUUGACUGCCAGUCUGUAGUCUUCAAUCGUUAAGUCAUAAUGAGAAUUAUCUAUGUCCCUAUAUUGGAAACUGUAGUUUAUAUUUUGAAAGAGGCUCUAUAAGUACAGUAUUUUACUUUAUUUCAGGAUUCCAGUUGUGUUUUGGUCAACCUGUGGACAUUGAAGUCUUGACUUUACUCAGAGGUAAAGUGGAUGAACUUUGUGAAGCUAUCAAGACAUGGAAUUUAGAGAAACGACAG